GACGAACGCUGGCGGCGUGCUUAACACAUGCAAGUCAAACGGAAAGGCCCUGCUUUUGUGGGGUGCUCGAGUGGCGAACGGGUGAGUAACACGUGAGUAACCUGCCCUUGACUUUGGGAUAACUUCAGGAAACUGGGGCUAAUACCGGAUAGGAGCUCCUGCUGCAUGGUGGGGGUUGGAAAGUUUCGGCGGUUGGGGAUGGACUCGCGGCUUAUCAGCUUGUUGGUGGGGUAGUGGCUUACCAAGGCUUUGACGGGUAGCCGGCCUGAGAGGGUGACUGGCCACAUUGGGACUGAGAUACGGCCCAGACUCCUACGGGAGGCAGCAGUGGGGAAUAUUGCACAAUGGGCGGAAGCCUGAUGCAGCAACGCCGCGUGCGGGAUGACGGCCUUCGGGUUGUAAACCGCUUUCGCCUGUGACGAAGCGUGAGUGACGGUAAUGGGUAAAGAAGCACCGGCUAACUACGUG
RNAcentral lists this ribosomal RNA (468 nucleotides) under uncultured bacterium. RNAcentral's name for it is "partial 16S ribosomal RNA". It matches the Rfam family "Bacterial small subunit ribosomal RNA", at positions 28 to 507 of the family's 1533-position model. The record is from RNAcentral.